RNAcentral lists this transfer RNA (85 nucleotides) under Candidatus Curtissbacteria bacterium RIFCSPHIGHO2_01_FULL_34_40. RNAcentral's name for it is "tRNA-Leu". It matches the Rfam family "tRNA". From Rfam's summary of the family: Transfer RNA (tRNA) molecules are approximately 80 nucleotides in length. Their secondary structure includes four short double-helical elements and three loops (D, anti-codon, and T loops). Lineage: Bacteria; Candidatus Curtissiibacteriota. RNAcentral also lists the same sequence under 10 other names. The record is from RNAcentral.
GGCCAGGUGAUGGAAUGGUAGACAUGCAAGUCUCAAAAACUUGUGGCAGGAAACUGCCGUGAGAGUUCGAAUCUCUCCCUGGCCA